This 69-nucleotide transfer RNA is filed under the name Taxoblenus sp. RNAcentral describes it as "tRNA-Tyr". It matches the Rfam family "tRNA". From Rfam's summary of the family: Transfer RNA (tRNA) molecules are approximately 80 nucleotides in length. The record is from RNAcentral. Lineage: Eukaryota; Metazoa; Arthropoda; Insecta; Hymenoptera; Tenthredinidae.
AAUAAAAUGGCUGAAGAUUAGGCGAUAAAUUGUAAAUUUAUUAAUGAAUAUUUUAAAAUUCUUUUAUUA